RNAcentral lists this ribosomal RNA (246 nucleotides) under uncultured bacterium. RNAcentral's name for it is "partial 16S ribosomal RNA". It matches the Rfam family "Bacterial small subunit ribosomal RNA", at positions 524 to 768 of the family's 1533-position model. The record is from RNAcentral.
UACGGGGGGAGCAAGCGUUGUUCGGAUUUACUGGGCGUAAAGGCGGGUAGGCGGCCACCGCAAGUCAGUUGUGAAAUCUCCGGGCUUAACCCGGAAAGGUCAACUGAUACUGCGGGGCUAGAGUGCAGAAGGGGCAACUGGAAUUCUCGGUGUAGCGGUGAAAUGCGUAGAGAUCCGGAAGAACACCGGUGGCGAAGGCGGUUAGCUGGGCAGUUGCUGACACUGAGGCGCGACAGCGUUGGGGAG